AACGAACGCUGGCGGCAUGCCUAACACAUGCAAGUCGAACGAUGCCUUCGGGCAUAGUGGCGCACGGGUGCGUAACGCGUGGGAAUCUGCCCUUGGCUUCGGAAUAACAGUUAGAAAUGACUGCUAAUACCGGAUGAUGUCCCCCUGAGAGAUCUUGGGGACCAAAGAUUUAUCGGCCAGGGAUGAGCCCGCGUAGGAUUAGGUAGUUGGUGGGGUAAAGGCCUACCAAGCCGACGAUCCUUAGCUGGUCUGAGAGGAUGAUCAGCCACACUGGGACUGAGACACGGCCCAGACUCCUACGGGAGGCAGCAGUGGGGAAUAUUGGACAAUGGGAGGAACCCUGAUCCAGCAAUGCCGCGUGAGUGAUGAAGGCCUUAGGGUUGUAAAGCUCUUUUACCAGGGAUGAUAAUGACAGUACCUGGAGAAUAAGCUCCGGCUAACUCCGUG
RNAcentral lists this ribosomal RNA (447 nucleotides) under uncultured bacterium. Its description in RNAcentral is "partial 16S ribosomal RNA". It matches the Rfam family "Bacterial small subunit ribosomal RNA", at positions 29 to 507 of the family's 1533-position model. The record is from RNAcentral.